UACGUCGGGUGCGAGCGUUGUCCGGCAUUACUGGGCGUAAAGAGCUCGUAGGUGGUUUGUCGCGUUGUUCGUGAAAACUCACAGCUUAACUGUGGGCGUGCGGGCGAUACGGGCAGACUGGAGUACUGCAGGGGAGACUGGAAUUCCUGGUGUAGCGGUGGAAUGCGCAGAUAUCAGGAGGAACACCGGUGGCGAAGGCGGGUCUCUGGGCAGUAACUGACGCUGAGGAGCGAAAGCGUGGGGAGCGAACAGG
This 253-nucleotide ribosomal RNA is filed under the name uncultured bacterium. RNAcentral describes it as "partial 16S ribosomal RNA". It matches the Rfam family "Bacterial small subunit ribosomal RNA", at positions 524 to 776 of the family's 1533-position model. The record is from RNAcentral.